Molecule: ribosomal RNA, 298 nt
Filed under: Clostridioides difficile
Lineage: Bacteria; Bacillati; Bacillota; Clostridia; Peptostreptococcales; Peptostreptococcaceae
Description: partial 23S ribosomal RNA
Rfam family: Bacterial large subunit ribosomal RNA
Source: RNAcentral
UUCUGCGUGGAAGGGCCAUCGCUCAACGGAUAAAAGCUACCCUGGGGAUAACAGGCUUAUCUUCCCCAAGAGUCCACAUCGACGGGGAGGUUUGGCACCUCGAUGUCGGCUCAUCACAUCCUGGGGCGGUAGUAGGUCCCAAGGGUUGGGCUGUUCGCCCAUUAAAGUGGUACGCGAGCUGGGUUCAGAACGUCGUGAGACAGUUCGGUCCCUAUCCGUCGCAGGCGUAGGAAAUUUGAGAAGACCUGUCCUUAGUACGAGAGGACCGGGAUGGACGUACCUCUGGUGUACCAGUUGU